This 422-nucleotide ribosomal RNA is filed under the name uncultured bacterium. Its description in RNAcentral is "partial 16S ribosomal RNA". It matches the Rfam family "Bacterial small subunit ribosomal RNA", at positions 360 to 773 of the family's 1533-position model. The record is from RNAcentral.
AAUCUUCCGCAAUGGACGCAAGUCUGACGGAGCAACGCCGCGUGAGUGAGGAAGGUUUUCGGAUCGUAAAACUCUGUUGUUAGAGAAGAACAAGUACCGUUUGAACAAGGCGGUACCUUGACGGUAUCUAACGAGAAAGCCCCGGCUAACUACGUGCCAGCAGCCGCGGUAAUACGUAGGGGGCAAGCGUUGUCCGGAAUUAUUGGGCGUAAAGCGCGCGCAGGCGGUCUUUUAAGUCUGAUGUGAAAUCUCGCGGCUCAACCGCGAGCGGUCAUUGGAAACUGGGAGACUUGAGUACAGGAGAGGAAAGUGGAAUUCCACGUGUAGCGGUGAAAUGCGUAGAGAUGCGGAGGAAUACCGAUGGCGAAGGCAGCCCCCUGGGAUAAUACUGACGCUCAUGCACGAAAGCGUGGGGAGCAAAC